Molecule: ribosomal RNA, 492 nt
Filed under: uncultured bacterium
Lineage: Bacteria
Description: partial 16S ribosomal RNA
Rfam family: Bacterial small subunit ribosomal RNA
Source: RNAcentral
AGUGAACGCUGGCGGUAGGCCUAACACAUGCAAGUCGAACGGCAGCACAGUAAGAGCUUGCUCUUACGGGUGGCGAGUGGCGGACGGGUGAGGAAUACAUCGGAAUCUACUUUUUCGUGGGGGAUAACGUAGGGAAACUUACGCUAAUACCGCAUACGACCUACGGGUGAAAGCAGGGGAUCUUCGGACCUUGCGCGAUUGAAUGAGCCGAUGUCGGAUUAGCUAGUUGGCGGGGUAAAGGCCCACCAAGGCGACGAUCCGUAGCUGGUCUGAGAGGAUGAUCAGCCACACUGGAACUGAGACACGGUCAAGACUCCUACGGGAGGCAGCAGUGGGGAAUAUUGGACAAUGGGCGCAAGCCUGAUACAGCCAUACCGCGUGGGUGAAGAAGGCCUUCGGGUUGUAAAGCCCUUUUGUUGGGAAAGAAAAGCAGCAGGUUAAUACCCCGCUGUUCUGACGGUACCCAAAGAAUAAGCACCGGCUAACUUCGUG